AUGAUAUGAAAGUAGGUGUUAAGUCUACAGCAUUGAGAUUUGCAGAUUCAACUGAGGAGGGAUUACUGGGUUUGGAAUUAUGUGCAUGAGUAGUCUUGCACUCAGUGGAUAUACCGCUGAAAUUGGUGGGCCAUAUUAUGCAUUUUUGUCGGCUGCAUCUAGACAAUUAGCUUGGCAGAUAUGGACAGCUGACCUUUCAUCCCGGGCUGAUUGCAAUAGAAAGUGCGUAUCAUCGUGAUUUGUGUUGAACAAAUGGUUUGGUGCCAUUAUUUUCAGCGGAAUCCCAUUUAGAAGACUUUCAUCGCAGGGGUGAAGAAUGUGUUUGCUCCCUAAAUCCGUCAUGGUGCCUUGCGGGCAAGUCGGAGAUUUACUUCACAUACGGGAUUGGUGGGUGCGGGCGUGCCACUACUAGAUGCCACUAGUAGACGGGAUUUAAAUGAUUGAGGUUGCGCCUU
Molecule: non-coding RNA, 455 nt
Organism: Malus domestica (apple)
Lineage: Eukaryota; Viridiplantae; Streptophyta; Magnoliopsida; Rosales; Rosaceae
Source: RefSeq, a predicted model, not a curated record